Molecule: small RNA, 29 nt
Filed under: Bombyx mori (domestic silkworm)
Lineage: Eukaryota; Metazoa; Arthropoda; Insecta; Lepidoptera; Bombycidae
Description: ovarian small RNA-21772
Source: RNAcentral
UAGAACAAGGACUACUUGUUCCGGAGCAG